CAUACACACACAUAUGACAAAAACCAUGACCCUGAUAAAAAAAGCAAAUAGCAAGGUCAGUCAAAUCCAAAGUUGAAAAGGUAUUUCAACUGCAAUAUUUUUCUCCCUCUCAUCCACCAGCCAAGAUGAGUUAGUUAUCAGAUCCCAAGCAAGUUACGCAGUGCAACCUAAAUCCAUCAGAUAAAAAGAAGGGAGUAUUUCAAACUAGAAAGGAUAAUGGAUUAGACUGACAUAGACCAAAACAACUACAUACCGUGACGUGACAUUUAUAAAAUAGCCUCUUUCCAACCUGGAAGAAGGAAAAAAACAUUAACAUCACACAGACUGCACACUAAAUUCACCCCUCAAAUUGAAUCCUUUUAUUAUUCCUAGCAAGGCAAUCUGCAGGUGGUAAACCUACAACCAAGGAGCAACAAGUGACUCUUGGAAAAGUAAGGUGAA
Molecule: long non-coding RNA, 441 nt
Filed under: Bos taurus (domestic cattle)
Lineage: Eukaryota; Metazoa; Chordata; Mammalia; Artiodactyla; Bovidae
Description: long non-coding RNA NONBTAT011654
Source: RNAcentral